GGAGUUUGGUCCGUGUCUCAGUACCAAUGUGGGGGGACCUUCCUCUCAGAACCCCUACUGAUCGCAGGCUUGGUGGGCCGUUACCCCGCCAACAACCUAAUCAGACGCAUCCCCAUCCCAUAGCGAUGAAUCUUUGCUUGACGUUAGAUGUCUGCUGUCAAGAACAUAGGGGAAUUAAUCCGACUUUC
This 188-nucleotide ribosomal RNA is filed under the name uncultured Bacteroidales bacterium. RNAcentral's name for it is "partial 16S ribosomal RNA". The record is from RNAcentral. Lineage: Bacteria; Pseudomonadati; Bacteroidota; Bacteroidia; Bacteroidales.